UACGGGGGGGGCAAGCGUUGUUCGGAAUUACUGGGCGUAAAGGGCGCGUAGGCGGUCCGCUAAGUUGGAUGUGAAAACUCUGGGCUUAACCCAGAGCCUGCAUUCAAAACUGACGGGCUAGAGUUCUGGAGGGGGUAGCGGAAUUCCUGGUGUAGCGGUGAAAUGCGUAGAUAUCAGGAGGAACACCGGUGGCGAAGGCAGCCCCCUGGGCCAACACUGACGCUCAGGCACGAAAGCGUGGGGAGCAAACAGG
This 253-nucleotide ribosomal RNA is filed under the name uncultured bacterium. RNAcentral's name for it is "partial 16S ribosomal RNA". It matches the Rfam family "Bacterial small subunit ribosomal RNA", at positions 524 to 776 of the family's 1533-position model. The record is from RNAcentral.